AUCGGAUUCGACUUAAGAUGUUGAUGUGUAGGCGGCAUGCCGAGGAAGCCUGGUUGGCCUCGUAAAAAAUCUGGGCAAAAACUAAACGCAAACUACGAUGUAGUUGCUGAGGCAGAAAGCAUCCUCGCGGGUGCCGAAGCCGCAUUAGUCUAAGUUACAAGCUAACUUAGCCUUUUUAUCGGGGGUCGCCCGCGACUCGAUAAAAAGCACACUGUGGGCUGGUUCUGAUAAACGUUUUCGGUGUCAGAAUGAGAUCUUAGAAAACUGGGUUUAACGCAUCCUGUACGCUGGAGACGUUAAACCAAGACCAAAAAACGUUCUACGCAUGUAGAAGCUUACGCAAAGCUCUUUAAGGACCGGGGUUCGAUUU
Molecule: transfer-messenger RNA, 370 nt
Filed under: Candidatus Omnitrophota bacterium
Lineage: Bacteria; Pseudomonadati; Candidatus Omnitrophota
Description: Candidatus Omnitrophica bacterium (sediment metagenome) transfer-messenger RNA
Rfam family: transfer-messenger RNA
About the family: Bacterial tmRNA, also known as 10Sa RNA or SsrA, is named for its dual tRNA and mRNA-like properties. Its role is to liberate the mRNA from a stalled ribosome. To accomplish this part of the tmRNA is used as a reading frame that ends in a translation stop signal.
Source: RNAcentral